CAGCCCACACGUGGCCUUGGGUAUCCCCUGCUUCUUUGCCUGCCUCUCUUCUGCCCACGCUGCAUAUCUCUGUCUCCCACUGUCCCCACUAUGACCACGAUUGCCUCUCCCUCCCUGCUCUCUCUCUCUCCUAGGGCUCCUUGUCUUGGGUAAAGGAACCCACAGCCUUUACAUUGUGAUUGGGCAGUCUCAUGCUUCUGUCAAGGGGACUUUCCCACCGUUGCUCCUUUGCAGGGAGACUAAGUGGACUCUUCUAUUCCCUGGCCAUCA
RNAcentral lists this long non-coding RNA (270 nucleotides) under Homo sapiens (human). RNAcentral's name for it is "non-protein coding lnc-SSX5-2:1". Lineage: Eukaryota; Metazoa; Chordata; Mammalia; Primates; Hominidae. The record is from RNAcentral.